GCCUCGAUGGUGGAACGGUAUACACGACGGUCUUAGAAACCGUUGCCGAAAGGAUUGGGAGUUCGAAUCUCCCUCGGGGCA
Molecule: transfer RNA, 81 nt
Filed under: Synechococcus phage S-CBWM1
Lineage: Duplodnaviria; Heunggongvirae; Uroviricota; Caudoviricetes
Rfam family: tRNA
About the family: Transfer RNA (tRNA) molecules are approximately 80 nucleotides in length. Their secondary structure includes four short double-helical elements and three loops (D, anti-codon, and T loops).
Source: Rfam by way of RNAcentral